AAGUUCUUAGACAAGUGAAAAAAGAUAAUUUCUAUUGAAGUAAUAUAGAAAUUAUCCUUUUCAUUAUUUUUUAGUAUUUUAAUAUAAAAUUAUGUACAAAUACGUAGUAUUUAUGGCAAGACUCCUGAGGGAACAGUACUAGUUGAAGACCUUAGAAAUUCUCACAGAUUUAUCUGUGUAGCAUUUCUGGCUGAAACUGUACCCUAGGAAUGCGAAGCCAUACAAUACGAAGUAUUGGAUAUAAAGAAAGCACUAA
This 256-nucleotide non-coding RNA is filed under the name Staphylococcus sp. 8AQ. RNAcentral's name for it is "tsr24". It matches the Rfam family "S. aureus tsr24 small RNA". Lineage: Bacteria; Bacillati; Bacillota; Bacilli; Caryophanales; Staphylococcaceae. The record is from RNAcentral.